This 406-nucleotide ribosomal RNA is filed under the name uncultured bacterium. RNAcentral describes it as "partial 16S ribosomal RNA". It matches the Rfam family "Bacterial small subunit ribosomal RNA", at positions 30 to 526 of the family's 1533-position model. The record is from RNAcentral.
AUUGAACGCUGGCGGCAGGCCUAACACAUGCAAGUCGAACGAGUGGCGGACGGGUGAGUAAUGUCUGGGAAACUGCCUGCUGGAGGGGGAUAACUACUGGAAACGGUAGCUAAUACCGCAUACCAUCAGAUGUGCCCAGAUGGGAUUCGCUAGUUGGUGGGGUAACGGCUCACCAAGGCGACGAUCCCUAGAUGGUCUGAGAGGAUGACCAGACAAACUGUAAAGGUGACACGGUCCAGUAUCCUACUGUAGGCAGCAUUGGGGAAUAUUGCACAAUGGGGGCAAGCCUGAUGCAGCCAUUCCGCGUGUAGGAAGAAGGCCUUCGGGUUGUAAAGGACUUUCAUCGGGGAGGCGUUACCCGCAGAAGAAGCACCGGCUAACUCCGUGCCAGCAGCCGCGGUAAUAC